AGAGCGAACGCUGGCGGCAGGCUUAACACAUGCAAGUCGAACGGAUCCUUCGGGAUUAGUGGCGGACGGGUGAGUAACACGUGGGAACGUGCCUUUUGGUUCGGAACAACACAGGGAAACUUGUGCUAAUACCGAAUGUGCCCUUCGGGGGAAAGAUUUAUCGCCAUUAGAGCGGCCCGCGUCUGAUUAGCUAGUUGGUGAGGUAAAGGCUCACCAAGGCUACGAUCAGUAGCUGGUCUGAGAGGAUGAUCAGCCACAUUGGGACUGAGACACGGCCCAAACUCCUACGGGAGGCAGCAGUGGGGAAUCUUGCGCAAUGGGGGAAACCCUGACGCAGCCAUGCCGCGUGGAGGAUGAAGCCCCUUGGGGCGUAAACUCCUUUCGAUCGGGAAGAUAAUGACGGUACCGGAAGAAGAAGCCCCGGCUAACUUCGUGCCAGCAGCCGC
This 446-nucleotide ribosomal RNA is filed under the name uncultured bacterium. Its description in RNAcentral is "SSU rRNA". It matches the Rfam family "Bacterial small subunit ribosomal RNA", at positions 26 to 518 of the family's 1533-position model. The record is from RNAcentral.